GACGAACGCUGGCGGCGUGCCUAAUACAUGCAAGUAGAACGCACAGUUUAUACCGUAGCUUGCUACACCGUAGACUGUGAGUUGCGAACGGGUGAGUAACGCGUAGGUAACCUGCCUGGUAGCGGGGGAUAACUAUUGGAAACGAUAGCUAAUACCGCAUAAUAUUAAUUAUUGCAUGAUAAUUGAUUGAAAGAUGCAACUGCAUCACUACCAGAUGGACCUGCGUUGUAUUAGCUAGUAGGUGAGGUAACGGCUCACCUAGGCGACGAUACAUAGCCGACCUGAGAGGGUGAUCGGCCACACUGGGACUGAGACACGGCCCAGACUCCUACGGGAGGCAGCAGUAGGGAAUCUUCGGCAAUGGACGAAAGUCUGACCGAGCAACGCCGCGUGAGUGAAGAAGGUUUUCGGAUCGUAAAGCUCUGUUGUAAGAGAAGAACGGGUGUGAGAGUGGAAAGUUCACACUGUGACGGUAUCUUACCAGAAAGGGACGGCUAACUACGUG
RNAcentral lists this ribosomal RNA (505 nucleotides) under uncultured bacterium. Its description in RNAcentral is "partial 16S ribosomal RNA". It matches the Rfam family "Bacterial small subunit ribosomal RNA", at positions 28 to 507 of the family's 1533-position model. The record is from RNAcentral.